Sorex fumeus (smoky shrew) is the source of this 137-nucleotide small nucleolar RNA. RefSeq annotates it as U8 small nucleolar RNA. The record is from RefSeq and is a predicted model, not a curated record. The transcript has a single exon. NCBI's taxonomy places the organism in Eukaryota, Metazoa, Chordata, Mammalia, Eulipotyphla, Soricidae.
UCAUCAGGCAGGAUAACCCUUACCUGUUUCUCUAUUCAGAGGGCAGAUAGAACAUGAUGAUUGCAGUUGGCAUGAUUCUUGAUUAACGUAUCUGCGUGAUUGGGGUUCACAACACCCUAAUUGCACCUAAUUCUUAA